GCAGAUGUAGUUCAUCGGUAGAACUCCAGCUUCCCAAGCUGGCGAGGCGGGUUCGAUUCCCGUCAUCUGCU
This is a transfer RNA of Lachnoclostridium sp. An169, 71 nucleotides long. It matches the Rfam family "tRNA". Rfam says of the family: Transfer RNA (tRNA) molecules are approximately 80 nucleotides in length. Their secondary structure includes four short double-helical elements and three loops (D, anti-codon, and T loops). Lineage: Bacteria; Bacillati; Bacillota; Clostridia; Lachnospirales; Lachnospiraceae. The record is from Rfam.